Molecule: small RNA, 424 nt
Filed under: Pongo abelii (Sumatran orangutan)
Lineage: Eukaryota; Metazoa; Chordata; Mammalia; Primates; Hominidae
Description: retained intron
Source: RNAcentral
GAUCUCUCAGAAUCCCCACUGGAGUCCCCAGGCCACCCCCAUUGCCUCGGCCAAAAGAUGAGUCUCAAACUCCAUCACCUCUCUCUCCUCAGGAUGUUCUGGAAUCGAAGAACAGCACCAUCAAGGACCUGCAGUAUGAGCUGGCCCGGGUCUGUAAGUGCUGCGCACAUAUGAGGCAAAGCUCCUGGCCUUCGGGAUCCCUCUGGACAACGUGGGCUUCAAGCCCUUGGAAACAGCUGUGAUCGGACAGAUGCUGGGCCAGGGUCCCGCGGGACUGGUGGGCACCCCGACGUAGCUGCCCCCCUGGGGGGCCACAGCCCAGAGAGCCAGCCUAGGAACACUCUCGGGAUGACACCCCUUUUCACACCAAGGACAGCACGUUUUUUAGAUUUUAUCAUCAGCAAAUGAAAGCUUUUCACAUGUU